UAAUAGCGUAUAUUAAUGUUGUUGCAGUUAAAAAGCUCGUAGUUGGAUUUUGGUGUUUGACAAAUGGUCUGCCUUUCGGUGUGCACUGUUUGUUGGCACUUCUUUUCUGGGGAACUCACUGCUCUUAAUUGAGGGGUGCUGUAACGCAGAUCGUUUACUUUGAAAAAAUUAGAGUGUUCAAAGCAGGCCAACGCAUUGAAUACAUUAGCAUGGAAUAAUGGAAUAGGACUUUGGUCUUAUUUUGUUGGUUUCUAAGGCCGAGGUAAUGAUUAAUAGGGAUAGUUGGGGGCGUUUAUAUUCCGUUGUCAGAGGUGAAAUUCUUGGAUUUACGGAAGAUAAACUACUGCGAAAGCAUUCGCCAAGGAUGUUUUCAUUAA
This 377-nucleotide ribosomal RNA is filed under the name uncultured eukaryote. RNAcentral's name for it is "partial 18S ribosomal RNA". It matches the Rfam family "Eukaryotic small subunit ribosomal RNA", at positions 592 to 976 of the family's 1831-position model. The record is from RNAcentral.